Molecule: ribosomal RNA, 422 nt
Filed under: uncultured Faecalibacterium sp.
Lineage: Bacteria; Bacillati; Bacillota; Clostridia; Eubacteriales; Oscillospiraceae
Description: bacterial SSU rRNA
Rfam family: Bacterial small subunit ribosomal RNA
Source: RNAcentral
UGAGGAAUAUUGGUCAAUGGGCGCAGGCCUGAACCAGCCAAGUCGCGUGAGGGAAGACGGUCCUACGGAUUGUAAACUCCUGUUGUUGAGGAAGAUAAUGACGGUACUCAACAAGGAAGUGACGGCUAACUACGUGCCAGCAGCCGCGGUAAAACGUAGGUCACAAGCGUUGUCCGGAAUUACUGGGUGUAAAGGGAGCACAGGCGGGAGAACAAGUUGGAAGUGAAAUCCAUGGGCUCAACCCAUGAACUGCUUUCAAAACUGUUUUCUUGAGUAGUGCAGAGGUAGGCGGAAUUCCCGGUGUAGCGGUGGAAUGCGUAGAUAUCGGGAGGAACACCAGUGGCGAAGGCGGCCUACUGGGCACCAACUGACGCUGAGGCUCGAAAGUGUGGGUAGCAAACAGGAUUAGAUACCCUGGUAGU